Molecule: non-coding RNA, 136 nt
Organism: Brachypodium distachyon (stiff brome)
Lineage: Eukaryota; Viridiplantae; Streptophyta; Magnoliopsida; Poales; Poaceae
Source: Rfam
CAUAUACUCCCUCCGUCCAAUAAAAGAUGUCUCAAGUUUAUCAAAAUUUAGAUAUAUCUAGACAUGACUUAGUGUAUAGACGCAUUCAAAUUUAGUCGAAGUUGAGACAUCCUUUCUUGGACGGAGGGAGUAUAUU